GUUUGUUUAAUAUUUAUUUAAUAUUUAUUUACCUAUUUUUUGUGCACUUGUUUCAUUUCAGCUCAGUGUAGAGAAAUACAGCGAUACAGACAACCGUCUUACUGCGUAUCUAUGACGACACUGUCGACGCGUAUCCGUAUCUGUGACACGCCUGCUCCGUAACAUAACUAGUAGUUUCAGGGGGCCUACCACCCCCCCUGAAAACAAUCCUAGUAGAAACACUGUCAAUCAUUAUUAUUAAACGUCAGAAGGAUGAUCAAUAAUUAAUCUAUAGAGCUCAUAUUGAAACAGACUUUACAAAGUGCUUCACAAUUCAGGAUCAAAUGAAAAGAUCAUUAACAGGGAAGUAAUGGCUUGAAUAAAAUUCAUAAAUUGAAUCAUUUAUAUGUUGACACUGUUUGGAUGCUUUCAACUGUUUGUUGGUCUGAUUUCUACGUUCACAAACAAAAUGAAAAAGUUAAUUAUUGUCAUUUUUACUCUGACAAGUGAAUUUUGUGGAUGUGUGACAGUUAAAAAAGGCACUUUAAUAAUUCUUAUUUACAAUUUGUGUUUGUGAAUUUUAUCUCAACGAGGAAUUUUUAUUCAUGAAUGUUUCCUGUGGAAAUGACCUUGCUGCACAUCGUCCCUUCUGUCCCUCACAGAGCUGUUUUGCAUUGCUGAGGGAGCAGAUGUGCAGGAGAGACCAGAAGGUGAUUCAUAUGUGUUACAUUGUCUUCUGCAGGAGCAAAUAAAGGCUGGAAACCAA
Long non-coding RNA from Thunnus maccoyii (southern bluefin tuna), 745 nucleotides. RefSeq lists it as uncharacterized. The record is from RefSeq and is a predicted model, not a curated record. NCBI's taxonomy places the organism in Eukaryota, Metazoa, Chordata, Actinopteri, Scombriformes, Scombridae. The transcript is spliced from 2 exons.